Long non-coding RNA from Chelonia mydas (Green sea turtle), 1816 nucleotides. RefSeq lists it as uncharacterized. Lineage: Eukaryota; Metazoa; Chordata; Testudines; Cheloniidae. The transcript is spliced from 4 exons. The record is from RefSeq and is a predicted model, not a curated record.
AAGAACUAAAGCAACAGAAAUUGACGUAAAAAGCCAGAAGAAAGCAACUAUGACAAGUGUGUUCUCCCCUGGGUUUCCAGUCUCCUGCUUUGAGAAUUCAGCUCUCACCUUCUGAGACAAAGAAACCUGCAGGCCUGUUUCAAGAUUACAGUGCUGGGUUGUUACACUGGAGCUGACAGUUGACUCAAACAAGCUGGUGUGUGUAUACUGUAUUCCCUUGGGAGCAGCGAACCUGGUAAUUACUGUGAGGGCCCAGUGACUGGGGCUGGACGCUUCAGAGGAACACUCUUCAAGAGGGCUCAGGGUGCACCUGUUGCUAACCUGCAAAGCAAAGUGGAACAGACCCUUCCUGAAAUCCAGUUGAGAACCACAGUUCUAUAGGACUGGCUGCUUCAGAGACAAAAGGAGAAAAAUGCUUUUGGGAAGGGCCCCAUUAUCGGUAGCUGUGAGAGCUGCUUUUGACUGAACAAAUGAAAGAUCUUGUGAAAUUCUUAUGCUACAUGUGAAUUCUGAAGCCAAGGCAAGAUGUCCAGAAUGUUUCCAAGUGUGACAAAUUGCACAAAAACAGUUUUGAGUUUUGCCCCCAAAAGCAAACAGAUGCCAGACCGUUCACCCAAAGAACUCUGGGAUUUGGUGCUUCACUUUUCCUUUGUCAUGCUGCCACUCUCUAUAGGGAGCUCCUCUGAAUAAGUGAUGGUGGGGUUUGUUUGUUUUCUAAGUUACCCGUUUAUUCAUUUCUUCCUUGACAUUUCUCCUAAAGGUCUUCAUCUGGCUUUUCCAUGGUAACAAACACAGUUUUGCUCUUUUCCCCACUCCCUUUUCCUGUUUCUGCAUCUUCCUCAGACUGAUUCAAUUCAAAGGAGUGCUUUUGUGAACCGAAUUCCUCAUGCUAGUUGUAUCUUUUUGUCUCAGGUCUGCUUCUGAGUCACUGUUACCUCAGCCAGUCAUUGCCAAUAUUGCUAUUCCACCCCAAAGGGCCUUUGGAUCACAGCAGGAGAGAAAAUUGAUUCACUGUUUGUUGUCACUGAACACUAGCUUCUUAGUACCUAUGGAGGAGAGAGAGGAAACAGCUCAUAAAUACUGUUCAAUAAGCACUUUAUUAGAAAGAUGAGAUCAUUAUAAUCUGUAUGAUGCUAAAUAGAUGGCUGCGCAAAACCAGUGAUCCCAACAGCCUGCAGGUUUCAAUGGAAGUUUCAGGAAAUGGGCAGCUGAGAAUCCAAACAGAAAACCAAUGGGAAGGAAUUUUUCCCCCUGGCAUUGUAUUUGUUGUACACAAAACACAGGUGCACAUGGGAUCUGAUCCAAGAUGCAUUGUCUUCAAUGGGCUUUGGGGCACGCUCAUAGCUGGUAAUAGUUGUUCUGCUGAGGGAGAAAGUAACCACCUAGAAAUCCCUUCAGUUUAAGGCAGGAGGAUGCUGGAAUGGGGAAGCAGAGAACUAGGAGGACGAGGCCUCCCUUAAUCAUGUGGCUCAUAGGGGAUGGAUCAUCCCUUCUGCUUCUGCUCCAGUUUUUAAAAACCCUACACACAUCCUCACUCCUGCAGUAGGAGUGCUCCCAGGGGCUUACCCACUGUCUGUGGAUAAGAAAAAGAGCACUCUCCUAGACUUAUUGAUCAAUCAUAAGAAUCCAUCCUGACUGGCUAAUGCCUGUUUCCUCUUGCGCAAUCCAGCAGUAUUUGAUGAUUAAAACUUAAUGACUAUUUCCCCUUGUUUUUUCCUACCCCCCCCACCCCCCACUGUUCCUCAGACGUUCUUGUUAAACCCUGGAUUUGUGCUGGAAAUGGCCCACCUUGAUUAUCAUACACAUUGUAAGGAGA